RNAcentral lists this ribosomal RNA (545 nucleotides) under Scincella reevesii. Its description in RNAcentral is "partial 16S ribosomal RNA". It matches the Rfam family "Bacterial large subunit ribosomal RNA", at positions 1843 to 2635 of the family's 2925-position model. Lineage: Eukaryota; Metazoa; Chordata; Lepidosauria; Squamata; Scincidae. The record is from RNAcentral.
AUAUUAAAGGUCCUGCCUGCCCAGUGAAUAUUGUUUAACGGCCGCGGUAUUCUAACCGUGCAAAGGUAGCGUAAUCACUUGUCUUCUAAAUAAAGACUAGUAUGAAUGGCUAAAUGAGGACAAACCUGUCUCCUACACCCUAUCAGUGAAACUGAUCUCCUUGUUAAAAAGCAAGGAUACCCCCACAAGACGAGAAGACCCUGUGGAGCUUUAAAUAUACUACUAAAAAACAUACAACGUAACUAGUACUAACCUUAAGUUGGGGCGACUUCGGAACAAAACAAAACUUCCGAGCACAGAACUACGACUUCUAACUUAGACUAACAAGCCUAAGCAUAUACUGACCCAGUCAAACUGAUCAACGAACCAAGUUACCCCAGGGAUAACAGCGCUAUCUUCUUUAAGAGUCCAUAUCGACAAGAAGGUUUACGACCUCGAUGUUGGAUCAGGACACCCCAAUGGUGCAGCCGCUAUUAAAGGUUCGUUUGUUCAACGAUUAACAGUCCUACGUGAUCUGAGUUCAGACCGGAGCAAUCCAGGUCGGU